UGGGGAAUAUUGGGCAAUGGGCGCAAGCCGGACCCAGCAACGCCGCGUGAAGGAAGAAGGCUUUCGGGUUGUAAACUUCUUUUCUCAGGGACGAAGCAAGUGACGGUACCUGAGGAAUAAGCCACGGCUAACUACGUGCC
This 140-nucleotide ribosomal RNA is filed under the name uncultured bacterium. RNAcentral's name for it is "partial 16S ribosomal RNA". It matches the Rfam family "Bacterial small subunit ribosomal RNA", at positions 355 to 509 of the family's 1533-position model. The record is from RNAcentral.